Molecule: ribosomal RNA, 486 nt
Filed under: uncultured bacterium
Lineage: Bacteria
Description: partial 16S ribosomal RNA
Rfam family: Bacterial small subunit ribosomal RNA
Source: RNAcentral
AUUGAACGCUGGCGGCAUGCCUUACACAUGCAAGUCGAACGGCAGCACGGGUGCUUGCACCUGGUGGCGAGUGGCGAACGGGUGAGUAGUACAUCGGAACAUGUCCUGUAGUGGGGGAUAGCCCGGCGAAAGCCGGAUUAAUACCGCAUACGAUCCACGGAUGAAAGCGGGGGACCUUCGGGCCUCGCGCUAUAGGGUUGGCCGAUGGCUGAUUAGCUAGUUGGUGGGGUAAAGGCCUACCAAGGCGACGAUCAGUAGCUGGUCUGAGAGGACGACCAGCCACACUGGGACUGAGUCACGGCCCAGACUCCUACGGGAGGCAGCAGUGGGGAAUUUUGGACAAUGGGCGAAAGCCUGAUCCAGCAAUGCCGCGUGUGUGAAGAAGGCCUUCGGGUUGUAAAGCACUUUUGUCCGGAAAGAAAUCCUUGACUCUAAUACAGUCGGGGGAUGACGGUACCGGAAGAAUAAGCACCGGCUAACUACGUG